This 305-nucleotide ribosomal RNA is filed under the name uncultured bacterium. RNAcentral's name for it is "bacterial SSU rRNA". It matches the Rfam family "Bacterial small subunit ribosomal RNA", at positions 335 to 658 of the family's 1533-position model. The record is from RNAcentral.
UACCUACGGGAGGCAGCAGUGGGGAAUAUUGCACAAUGGGGGAAACCCUGAUGCAGCGACGCCGCGUGAGUGAGGAAGUAUUUCGGUAUGUAAAGCUCUAUCAGCAGGGAAGAAAAUGACGGUACCCGACCAAGAAGCCCCGGCUAACUACGUGCCAGCAGCCGCGGUAAUACGUAGGGGGCGAGCGUUAUCCGGAAUUACUGGGUGUAAAGGGAGCGUAGACGGCGAGGUAAGCCUGAAGUGGAAGCCCGCGGCCCAACCGCGGAACUGCUUUGGGAACUGUUUUGCUGGAGUAUGGGAGGGGG